UUCCUCAGUCAGCGUUCCUGCUGCACCACUCAGCAUUGCAAGCUUGCAGCUCUACAGGAAUUUGGCUGUCUCAGAUCCAGCAAGCACAGCUGUCCUUUGGCAGUGUUGGUGUUGCCAGCUCUCAGGCUGCAAAGAGGAAGAGCUCGACGGAUUGAGCUGCACCUUGUCCUCACUCUGAGACUGUUUGCAGAUGUGUAGAACUGUAUUCCUGAGACCACUGAGACCUCAGUCAUGGGUCUUCAGCUGUGGCUCUGAAAGCUGAGGUCUUCUGGUCACUGUGGGACUCCACACAUCAUCCUCACACAUCAUCCUCUGCUCUAAAUGUGUUCCAGAGCAGUCAGACCCCGUUGAUACCAGACCUGUGUAGGACAUGUUCAUACAGCUGUGCAGUGCCGUAAGGAUUUCAGGUCACCAGGUAAAGGUCCAGUCCUGCUCAGUGGCUGCAUACCACAUUUUUGGGGUUAAAAUAAAUGGGAUCUGACUUUUUUGAAGGAUGAUUCUAUCAUGCUUUUCUAUUAUUAAUCACAUCUAUGUAUACAUGUGGUUUUAUUUGAGAAUUGGAAUGCUGCCUUUCUGCUUUCAACAUCCAGGCACCGGUAGCACCCUGUGACUCACUCCCUGUGUUUGGGAGGGAGGUGUGACCUGGUUGGGUGAACCAUUUCCUAUAAGGUGUGAGACGUGGCUUCAGGACCUCAUGGUGCAUUCGUGUAUUCCGUCCCGGGGAGUCGAUAAGAGCUGCAGACAUACAGCAGGCUUGGAAGAAAGCGGUAGGAAAGGCACAAAGACCUCGCAAAUACAUAUGAAAGGAUCAAGGGUCUGCGUGUGUUAAAUCCCAACAGGAACAGAUUUGGGGUGAGAUGUCCGGCUUCAGAGGGAACUCAUACACUGCAAAGGGGCAAAAGCAGAGUAUGUCUGACUGCUGGCAGCUGGCUCCCUACCUUACGAGUGAGGAAGGUAGAGGAUUUGGGAGAGGGAAGGAGAUAAAAGCAAACGGCAGAGAUAGUGUCAGGAAUGUGAAAAGGAGAAGGCAGAAGGGAGCAUGCCACCUGGAGGCACGCAGCCUGGUUGGAAGGCACCUGGGUAUUUAGGGGUGAAUUAAAACUCUGUGAAACCUGAGCCUGUCCUUGAGUUUGGAGAUGUCCUGAGAACGGCCAGAUGCACACACCUGGCAAUCAGUCACGGUGCUUCAGAAGUGAGAGAGCAGACUCAAAGAUAUUUUAGCAGCAAACCUUAGGCUGAAGCAAGUCCUGUUGACGCUUGUUUUCUCUGUGCCCUCUCUAGUUUUAUAGUGUGAUGCUGUGGGAGAACUUAUAGCGUGUAUUUAACUGACUUCUUCCUGUUGCCUGCUCAUUCACAUCCUCUGAAUGAGGUCUGUAGAACAGUCAUGUUCUGUUCUUACAGGUAUUUUCCUUUAAAGAAGGAAUUUUUUUUAAUAUUUGUUGAUGUGUGCAUUUGUACAUAUAAAAUUAUUAUCUUGCCUGAACUUCCAGUGACCUUUAGUUAAUUCACAGCACAAACAAAGGAGAAUCUCUGUCUCUGCAGAUGAAUAACAAGAAGAAAGGAAGAUGAGAAGGGGAGUGUUAAGUUAAAAAAACAGAGCCCUGUUUUUCUCCUUGUGCUGCAACUCAGCUCUUUACCUGGAGCCACUCUGCAGGGUGCAGUCAGAAUGUGCAAACCCAGCAAGGCUGGCAGGAAAUGGCAGGGUGAUAUGUAGCACAGGGGCUACAUCUUCUUUAACAGCAUUGAAUAAUUAACAGGCUCUGAAGAGUCCCCUAUCUACUGCUUUUAGACUUCCUGGUCUUAGCAAGCAGUGUUAAGGCAUUGUUUUCUACCACUGUUUGGCAGGCUCCUAAGCCCUCCUCAUUCCACAUGUGAUGAAGUCUUUCUUCUAUCUAUCCCAGCUUGACAAAUGGCAAUCACGAGAUUUUCUGGUUUUGUCUUGCAGUGUUUGGUAUCUUAGUGCCUUCAGCUUCUGAAAUCAAUAGAUUCUAUGAGAAUCUCGAUUUUUAUCUUGUUGUUGUUGUUGUUUUAAAGCUAAUGUCUUGUGGUUAUGAAGAGAAGAACCCAAAUACGAAGCAAACUCUCUUCUGAUCGUUCACAUCAGAAAGCAAUGGGAAGCACCAGCACUCUCCUGGUAAGGCUGGAUGCCCAUUACAAGGUUGACACAGAGCCAACGUCUUUCCCUUGGCUGCUCUGUUCUGUUACACCACACAAAUCUUUCUUUUCUGAGUGGUAUUAACUGCAAAUUUCUUCAGCCCUGUUCUUCCCUUCUGCUGCUGGAGUGUGUGUACUUGCUGCAUGCCAAGGUUGAUGCUCAGGUUUUGUUCUUAUCAUUUAGUCUACAUGUUUCUGUUCUUCUUUUCUGGUUGGUUUUAGAGACAAGUAACUGUUGGUCUCUUUUUUUGGCACUUGCAAAAAAGUAGUUUUGCUUUUCUUUGGCAUUUUUUCCUUUCUGGGGUGUUUUAUUUCAGGCCCCUGUACAGCUGGGAAGUUUUUCGGUUUUAAGAUGUAGGUGGAGUGAGGGAAGUUCCACCCGAGCUGAGGAUUUGUGGCUGAUGAUUAAUUAAAUCAGCAAUUUCUGAUGUUCAGAGCUGGGGUGUGCAGCAGUUACUAUGUCAUUUGAUGAGGUAAUUCUCUUCCAUGCAUUAAUUGACUCAUAUUACCUUGCUAUUUAAAAUUGCACUGAAGAAAAGCAAAAGAAAGAUAAUUCUAUGUAACAAAUUCAGUAGGCAUUAUUUCUGUGGGUUAUCCUGAUUUUUAUAAGCAUGAUUAUAGGCAUGAUUUUCUGGCAUCUGAUGCUGAAGCUCCAUGUGCUUGCAUAGGAAAGUAUCUCUUUUAUCCUCUCCAGCUGCUCUUCUGCCCCAUGUCAGCAGCCCAAUACAACCCUAAGGACUGCCUUGCUCCUCACUGCAAACAGAUUGCCUCCUCCUAGGCCCUAUUCCUGCCCUGGUCCUGCCCAGUGCCCCAGGCAUUUUUGCAAAUUUGACUUUGGCCCUGUUUGUCAAAGGCACGGUGUUGUCACUUCUUUAGUCUGACCCUCUCCUUUGUUGUCAAGAGGUCUUCCUCUUUUUAUUGGUAGCUUUAUCUCUUUCUCGUUAUCUUCUAGUCUUGUAGACUCUUUCCCCUCUCUUUUGCAUUUAACCAAGCUUGUCUUAUCAGUAUUAGGGGAUUUAAGACUUUUCUCUUUGACAGCUUUUCUUCCCCACUGCCUGGAAGUUUCUCUAUGCCAUCGGUCAGCAGGCCAAAGAGCAAAUGCAUUUGUUAUUCAAAAUGAGAUAACUGCAUCCAUGCCCUGUAUCCUUAGGAGAGAGCAUUUGUCUUCUUCUACAGUCAUAUUUUUCACACCUGGGAAGUUGCCCUUACGUCUUUGAGGUAAUAGAAGACAUAAGGGAGUAAUAAGAAUUUUCUGCAGGGCUGACUGAUCAACAAAGGGUGCAGCAGCAUCACUGUCUGUGAUUCUGUUUGGAGUUCCUCCAUGACUAUCACCACCCUUUGGCCUGGCCAUCCAUUCCUGAAAUGUGAACACCAAGUCCUUAUGACAGUGACUGGAAACUGCAAAACUGAACACAGUAUCACAUUAGUCACAGCAUCACCUGGAUAUCUGAAAUGUCAUAUGUGUCUUGGCCAGUGACAGUAUGGCAGUAUUAAUGGUUUUCUGGCACUUUGAAAGUGCUGUCAUCCUUACAAAUCUUGCCAGGAUGGAAAAAGCUGGGAAAUUGAAAGGGGAGAAAAUAAAGAGAGAAGUUUCACUCAGUUGAACUGUCCUUUCUCCUUGUUUUGUAAAGGAAGAGAAUGCCUCCUGUGAAGCACGGUGAAGGCAUGCCUGGAGGGCAGUGCUGCUGGCAUCGUGGGGUCACUGUAGGGCAGCACUCUCAGCUACCCUGCAUAACAUAAAGCCAGGCCAGGAGAGCAGGCAGUGCAUGCCUUGGCAAGGAGGUGGUGUGACACACUGGGCCAGAUCCCCUCCUGUAGCACUAGGUGGGAGCACAGCAUAAGCAGGGCGGCAACGACAUUGGUGUGAGGCUGCAGUGGACUUUUUUGUUGCAGUGUCAUAUGCUUUAGGCAGAAAUUCACUUGACCUUUUUUGGAAGGAAGAAGGCAGUGCUGAUCAUUCUUGGCCAGUGAAUAUGUGCUGAAUAUGUGCUAGUUCACUUGGUGAAGGUGACAAUGAGUUUCCUAGCACAGAGAAGGCUUGUGUGCAUGCAGCUUUCUCUUAAGGCCAGAGUGUGCCGUAACACCCCUCAGACAGUAAACAGUGCUGGACUGUGAAAGAUGCUGUACUCAUAACUUACACAGGAUGUUUUUGGCAUGCCAUAUAACCAGUGCCAAGGAAAGGUUUUCAGACUGUGGUGAUGCUCUGUCUCCUCAGUUUUGCAGCCUUUGUUGAUGAAGGUAACUUCUUGUUGCGAUGGCAAAUCCCUACAGGAUGAAACAGGGCAGUUCAGGGGGAUAUGUUUCCCAUGAGGGAAAUCUCAGAAGAAAACAGGUGGAAACCAAACAUUCUUUGGUCACAGAACCCAAGGAGAGGUGCAGUAUGUGUCAAACCAUGAAAGCUACUUCAGAAACCCAACCCAUUCAUAUGGAGUAUGUACAAUAAGGUAGAAAUCUUUUCCAACCUUACUGAUUAUAAAAUCAUCAAGCCCAAUUGUCAAGUGCCAACUGUCAAGGAAUCACCACAACUGUAUAUUAAACUUCAGACACGUGCACGCAUGGCAUGGAUUUAGGACUUCUGGCGGCCAAACCUCACACAAUGGGCACUGGUGAAUCUGCUGUGCUAAAACUAUUUGGCUGAGUUUCAGCCACCACUGUGACAUUAUUUCCAUUGCCCUUGAGUUCUGUCUGGGUCUCCCCUAAGCCCAGCUUCAUUAUUUUCUUACUAGUGAGUAGCCUGCUGGUGGAAAGCACGCUCCUGAAAGCUCUGAAAGCUCAUGCACUCAGGCUCAUGAGGGAGGUCUGCUGUGGGAUACUUCUCACCGAUGAAUUGUACUGCACAGUUGCUUUUACCCACUUCUAGCAGCAUCACAGUGACACCAAUAUAAAAGCAGCAACUGUAAUUUUAGAGGUUAUGCUCUCUUGCUGUUUUCCAGAGGUGGUUGGCCUUCCUGGGGAAGCCUUUUGUAAUGCAUGCAGGGAAAAGAAGCAGCCAUAUCCCCAUGCUUUUACUGCCUUUCUGGCAUUGCACCGCUUCCUGUGACCCUCUCUCCUCCCAGCGAUGCAUGGCUUUAAGGCUGCAUAGGCUGGGUGAAUUAUAUUUUAGAGUGAGACUCUAUUUAGCUGUGAUGUCAACUGCAGCAAACUAUAAAAAGAUCAGUAAUGCUCUUUGAAAGUGUAACAGCUGCUGCUCUACACCCUCUCUGCUGUAUUAUCACUCUGCCCUAUUUCAUGUGCCACACAGCCAACAUAAACUAUUGUAGCAAUCAUCUCAUUAUAUAGCUCAAGGAAUGCGGGAUAAACUCUCUAGAAGCAAGGAGGAACUUGAGGUGAGCCAAUCUGGGCAAUUUUACACAGUUUGUUAUCAAAAAAGUUAUUUUAUCUGGGCUUGCAAUGUAGCAUGCUUUUUCCUUAGCGCUUGACUGCAUGCCAUUAGCAAUUCCAACACAAUGACAGCAGAUCCGCAAAGCUUUGCUUUGGGCAGCUUUGCUGGAUGUUACUCACAUACAGUUGUAAACUGAGCUCGUCUGGACUGCAUGGAGUGAGUCCAGCAGUAUAUUACCUGGCAUAUGAAGCACAUCUUUGUCCUUAGCUGGGUGUGACCACAUGUUCAAAACCACAUUCAGGGUUCCCCUAGAGUCAGAAAAUAAAUUCUGUUUAUCCAGAGUGAGCAGACAGCAAGUAAUAAAUGUGGAAUUGUGCUAGCAAAAUACACUGUGGCAGUACUGGAAAUGGGGUCUUGUCUGGGUCUCUGAAUAAGGACUCUACCAAGAUAUAUUUUCCUACUCUUGGAGAAUAGGAAAAAAAAGUUGUCUCCUGGAGUAAGCUUCACUCCUGGAGACAACUUGUAAAUGAUGUUCUGAUAAAUGAUGUUCAAGACGUGUGCUGAAGCAAUAUGAGAAGUGGAGCAUUGCCAAGUGGCUUGGUCAGCUGUGGCAGCUGGGUGUGCAUUAGCACAGACAGCAAAGUGUCGCCUUCAGGCUGAUGGAAAGCAAAGUUCCAAACCUCCUCAGCUCCAGGUCCCUUCCUUGGUGGGACAAACCAAUGCAAAAAGGCUGCUCUGUUGUAUGUGGGUCAGUUGUGUUUGUUUUGUAGUGCAGAUAGGGCCUUUGUAGUGGGGAUGGAGAAUGGCCUGUUUGUAAGUGACACGCAAAGUCCUUUGACACAGGUCUGAAGUGGCAGUGAGCUCACUUGUCUGAGAGGAAAUGGUCGGCUUCCAACACGGCUGUUACCAAAGGUGACAAGACAGUUAGGCAAUGUGAGGAGUGAUUUUGCAUCAGACAAAGCCUCUGGGCUGGAAUCGAGCCCACCAUGGCACAGGCCUGCCUGUGUCUGAGUCCUGCCUGAGCUCACUGAGCCCUGGCACCCAGCACUCAUACAGGGACAUUGCAGAGGUACCCAGAAAUGAGAGCAAGUGGCCUGAAGACACACAGAAAGCUUGUGAGCAAGCCAAGGAGCAGCCUCAAUGUCAGCUUCCUGGCUCUGUUGAAAAUCCUUGGGGAGGCUCUCCUGCUUUCACUCACUUCCCACUGUUUGCAGGUGUGAGCAGUGUCUGGCAGCUCUGGUCUCACUUACGUGCAGGCUGGAGAAAAACAGACCCACCCCAGCUGUUUUCCGGCAGCAGUGCCACAUCAUGACCCCGUGGAUUAAUGAGCCCAGCAGAGGUUGCUGGGAGCAGGGUCUUGUCAUUUAGGGUUUGCUUCUACUUCGUGAUCCCAGAGGCACAAGCAGCAGGCAGCGCAGCGAGGCACUGCAAUCACUUGAUUACUUUGCUGUGGAAACUGCUCAACCAAAAUGAUCCCCGUGGAUCUCUGGUUCUUUCUCAGCUCACUGAAAACAGAUGUACUUCUCAUACAAGUGCAGAGAUGGUAGAAGGUUGUAUAUUUUUAAUCAACAGUUCAUGUUACAAGCUCAUGCAAGAAUCAGAACAGAGGUAAGUUCCUAGAGACCUCUAGGUCUGAACUGAAAGCACGAAGCGCAGCAGUGAGCCCAGUGGGGCUCAGCACCCAACCUCACAGUUCAGAAGAUGAGUUCCUUCAAGAAACAGCUGUGAGUGCAAAAUUAGCAGAAUAAGGAGCAGAGAGAAUUUGCUUCUUGUAUGUGAAAAUACCCAUGCAAACAUAUACUGCACGGUUGCUUGAAUAAACUUACACUGAAGGAGGCUGACAUGUCAGCAGAGCUGAAUUUACAUGCUGCAGUGUGUAGCAAUAUGCUGUCAGGUUAAGAAGUGGCACAUCCUUGUGUCCAGUCAUGGAUGCAUAAUGGUCUCACAGGGGGAGCUGAGUUGCUGUGAAAUUUGAGGUUGUGGAUUUUUAAUGGCAUCUGGAAAUCAAGAUACUGGAAAUCCUCAAGCAUUCAGUAACUCCCCAAUCACAGCCUUCAUUUAUCCUGUAACACUCCACAGGUUAAGGCUUUCAUAUAUCCAUUGAUAGCUGACAAUUCGUUUUGUUAGAAACUGAGCAGUCUCCAGUCGGAAUAGGGAUGCCUGAGACCUUCUGUAAAGCUCUUGUCUACCUUUUUCUGAGGCUGUGCAAUAGGUAAGUGGCUCCCGCAUCUCCAGAAUUGAAAUCAGUAAGUCGCUGGCAGUGAGCUCAUCUGUUGAAAGGAAAAAUGCUGUGCAGUCCCACACUGGUGACAGGAUGAAGCUGCCUGUCUCAUGCAGUAGCCACAGGCUCCUGCUAUCCUGGUCCUAUGGCUAUGGUUUUCCACAGUGACUAGUUCAUGUAAUCCUUUCACUACUUCUUUGCAGAGACUUGGAGCUUCACAAUGUCAAAGGCAAUUGCUGAACUAACUCUUGCCAACAUGAUAGAAGGUAAGAUCUUGCAGAGGGCCACUGGGAAAAAUAAGUGUUCUCUGAAAGCAGGUGUUCUCCUAAUAGUGCAUUUUACAAAUUCCAAGGAAAAAAAAAGCUCCUUCAAAAAGAAAAAGUAUACAUAUUUAAAAUAAAAAUUAAAAACUUGGAUAAUUUUGCAAUUAAUGCGUUGCUAAAACUGACCUGUUUUCUUGCAGCUAGAGAGAUUUUCCUUUUGGACCUUUAGGACAUUCCAGUCACCCUGAUGGAUGUUUUUCUCCCAUCUAUAAAGUUACUGUUAAGAAGAUCAAAAUGAUUGGAUUUUUUGUAGUGCAUUAAGUUAUUUGCCUUUACAUAGAGAGUAUUAUUUUUGUCAAACCGGUCAUGUUCAACACUUAUUUGGUUUUGUGAAACUUGGGAGUCCUAAUCAGGGCCAGAACCUCACUUUCAUGAUCAGAGCAGUCUGGGGACUGGGGCUGGAAUGAUGGUCCUCAUGGUUUCCUUGCAACUCAGGAUAUUCUGUGACUCUGUGAUUAUUCUGUUUAGGUGAUCAACAGUGAGAUAAUUACAUUUCACAUGAAAAAUGACAUGAGGGGUCAUAAUGAAUGCCUGAGGACCUGGAUUGGACAUUUCACACCACAGGUUCAACCAGCUAAGAUUGCUACUGCCCUCUUUUUGAAUAGAGAAACUUAGCAAGAACUGGCUGCCUGUCCUUGGUAGCAGGGUGCUGGGAGGUGCUGGACACAGAGCUGCUGGUGCUUAGCAAUCCAUCUGGCAAAGGAUUUUCUCAUCCAGGUUUGAUCUAGAAAGACAUUUCAGUAUCUGCUGGGAAUUUCAGAGCCUGUCCUUCAACUGGAAAAUGUAACAGUAUUUCAUUACAUGUCUUAUAUAUAUGUGAGUGUGUUUUGUUCUCUGUGUUUUGCUGUUAUAUAAAGACUACACAACGAUUACAAUGAUAAGCACUCCAUGGAGUCCUGUAACAAAAGCAACACACAGGAGAUUCACAUUCACAUCCUUUUGAGCCUAAAAGCUUGUCUCUACUAGAAAGACUUUGUUGCUGUGAGUGUCUCUGUGAGGUUAAAGAUCUGGUCUUCCUGCCUGUGUCUGUAGAGCUGCAUCUAAAUGAAGGCUCUUAUCAGUGUGACUGUGUCAGCAAAGGAUGCAGCUCUUAACUCACAUACUUACUCUAGUAAGGCUCUUCAAGUGUCAGGCAGUUUCUGGAGACAGAAGUAAGAGAAUUGCUCCUUUCAUUAUGAUGGCAUAUUAUCUCGGGGGCCUAAUGCUGGCAUUUUGAGCAUUAACCUCUGCUGUUCUAGGACUGCUGUGCAGAGGCACAGCACCACUGAAUGAUGCAUUCAGACUCUUCUCUCCUGGGCUCAGAAAUCCAGCCAGUGGGAUGUAAUCAACUCGGUUAAGAUUCUCCUUUAUAAACUUGUUUUCUACCUCUUGCUUUGUGUUUCCCUCCCAAAACUGCCUGUUAUGCCAGCCACACCAGACCCUGUUUUGCAUGAGAUACGUGAGGUCCCCAGCUGAUGACUCCAUGACCACAUCCAAUUAUUUGUUAUUAUGUCCUUUCCUUCCAUACCCAAAGAUUUCAUUAUCUUGCAGGAAAGCAUACAAAAGGAAGAGGAUUCAUAUCUCUCUGUAUUCAAGAGGAGAAAUACACGAGCUGUUCGGCAGCUCUCAAGUAUCAGCAACAUAGGGGUGAGAAGCCCUUUGCCCUGGCAGUUGUACUGAUUCAGUUUUUUAUGUGACUGGACUACGUGCCAGACCUGGGAAUAAAGCCACUUAAAAACAACAACAACAAUAACAACACAGUAUGGUGGAGAUGGAAAAAAAAGGAGGGAGAGAGGCUCUAUUUCCCUGAGAUCCAGCACUGCCAUUGUAACCCCACUGCACCAAAACAGCCUUCUGGAGUGAUUGAUGGGGAGAGGAGUCACAGACUCUCAAAGAGGGACUUCUGCAGGCCAAGGAAAGGCACAGUUUCAAGUGCAGCCUGGAAACAAACCUAGACUUGUUACUCUUUGUAACAAAUGCUCUCAUGUUAUGAAAUUAUAUUAUUGCUUAUCUCCUUUGAGGAUAUCCUACUCAUACACAAUUGAGAGAAAAUGAAAGUCCUGUCUCAGUAAUUUGUCCAUUGAUGCCCAAUAAGAAACAGGAGUGAGCAGGUUGUUUCCAUCUUUGUUUAGGCACUUUGCUCCCCAUAAUCUGCCCUUACUUAUUAUCCUGGAUGAAAAACAAAAAAAUAAGAAAAUGAUACCUGAUAACUGUCACCAUUUUGGUGGGACUUUCGUGAUUCUCAGGGGUUCUGAGCUGUGCGCUAGACUUCAGUCUGUGUUUGUUGCCACUGUGAACACAAAAACCAUAAAGGGAUGGAAGAGAAUAGAUUCAGUUCUGCUGUGCAGGAUCUGCCUGUCCACUAGCAGUCCACGUAUCAGAAGAAAUUGAAAUUGCCUGCUCUAAUGCAAUUCUCUGAGCACAGAUUAAGGGAGAUAAAAAUACUCUUUCUGCACUGAGAAUAUGUCUGUUAGAGCAGAAGAACACAGGUAGGAAAGCAAGCUGCCUAGAGAUCUGGUUAUUUCAGUGACAGCAGGGGAGCUGGAUUGAUCUAGCUGCUUCUUAGGUGCAGUCUGGUAUUACGGCUGAGUUUGUCUACAAGCUAGUUGCUGUCCUUGUUUCCCAUUUACACUGCUUUCCUUAAAUUGCAUCUAGUGCUGUGUGGCCACAGGGCAAAAUCUGCUCAUCAGAGCAGCAGAAAACUAACCAUGAAAAUGAAUAGUUUUCAGCCAGAUGGGCCAGCUGAAUCAACUCACCCAGAAUUCACUCCAUCACUGGAUUCAGCUCAAGGGAGAAGGAUGGAGAACACAGCUGGAAGCAGUAAUGGAGUGAGAUCACCACUAUUUGGCAUUAGCUUGCAGCUCUAACUUCAAGGAUGACCUGCCUCUAUCCUCCCUUCCCUGCUCCGAGCAGCACGCUCCUGCCACUUCCAGUGCUUGCUUGACCUCAGGGAACUAGGCCUCUAAGUCAGCAGCAAACUAACCCAGCACCCUAGAAACAGAGUAUUCUGCCUGCUUAAUUAGGUGAAGGAUGGAGGUGGGAUGAGUGUAAGUCCUGGCGCAAGGAUGCUGAUGAGCUUGUGUGGUGUCUGUGACUGGGAGGAGGCCAGGGUGGCUCCUUCUGACAGCAGCCUUUUCACAACAGCUCAUUUUCAAUUCAACCCAAAGAAGGAAAAUAAACAGCAUGAAAAAAAGAGAGCCACAGCUGAGCAAAUGGGAACCAACUGUACAACUCUCCGUUGAAAAGCAUUCACCUCAUCAUUAGGUGAAGAAGGACAGGCUUAAUGCACAGUUUUGAAAGGUGUGUUACCCGUCUGGUUGCUGGAUGGCAGGGAGCGAUGUGAAUAGCACCACUUAGUGCCUGCAUAGCUCUGCUCUCCCCAGAUCACAGGCAGGAGGCUCAGCAAACGGUUUUGAAAAGAAAGCACCUUUCUGCCUAUUAGUCCCUGUGCUAUUGGGUGCCUGGAAGACCCAAAGGCAGAUAUAGCUCUUUUAAAAAUCAAGGCAAAAGGAAAAAAUACAAGAGGGCAGAAGCUGUGUAACAGCAAAGCGUGGAGGAGGAUGCUGCUGUUUUCUGAAAUACCAGCAGAACUCAGGGCAGGGUCAUGCUGGCCCUGCAGGGCCCCUUGGGAACACAUGCUAGUGGGGUUUAGACCCUGAACCAGAGGGCAGUGCCCUUCUGGAGGUGUUUCAAAAGAGCACCAAAAAGUGCUCUGACCUUACGUGAAUGUAAGUCAUUGUUCUGGUUGAUUCAGUUUUUCUGUGGGCAGAUAGCCAACAAUGCAAUCACUAAUUGCACUGAUUUCCAUGUCCUCUCUUCUGUAAAAUCAGUUUAUUAGAGGAGUUGGUUAAAUUCAGGAAGUGCUUAAAUUCCUAACCAUAUCUUGCUUAGCAAGAACUUAUUGAUAACAGUGCUGUACUGCUCUCAGCUCAUGUGCCUGUAAAGAGCAUGAUUGGUUACAGAGCUGUACAGUUGCGGAUGCAAUUGCAUCAGCUAAGAUAUAUUAAACUGGUAUAAUUAUUUUAUUAGCCUGAAUUGUUCUUUUAUGAUCAUCUGUAUCUGUUAUAACUGCAUCCAUCCUAAGGAACAUUUGCUCUCUGUCAGAAUGAGAAUAUAAUGGGAAGAUAGCCUUCCACACGUGUAUUUUUCCUUAUGAGUCUCUCCAGCACUCUGUCAAUAAAGCUGCUUUUCAGCAGUGUUUGCUGACACUGUGAAAAAGGUAUUGCCAGACUCUACAUCUGAUUAACCGUUAUCCCACAGCUCAUGUCAUAAUUUAAAGAAGUCAGCGUGAACGUCACCAUAAAUUACUCUAUAAAUACAAGGCAGCAAGCAGCACAGUGAGCUGUGUUACCUUUGAAGUAAAGACGGGUAUUGUGCACCCUGCCGUGUAGAGGUCCCAGAAGGGAUCCAAUGUGUUGUAAAGGUUGCUGCUGUACUGCAGUCAUUCAGUCGUCCAACAGGA
Molecule: long non-coding RNA, 12461 nt
Organism: Lagopus muta (rock ptarmigan)
Lineage: Eukaryota; Metazoa; Chordata; Aves; Galliformes; Phasianidae
Exons: 3
Source: RefSeq, a predicted model, not a curated record